Molecule: ribosomal RNA, 2052 nt
Filed under: Myxobolus linzhiensis
Lineage: Eukaryota; Metazoa; Cnidaria; Myxozoa; Bivalvulida; Myxobolidae
Description: SSU rRNA
Rfam family: Eukaryotic small subunit ribosomal RNA
Source: RNAcentral
UACCUGGUUGAUCCUGCCAGUAGGGCAAGCUAUUCUCGAAGAUUAAGCCAUGUAUGUGCCAAGUUCAAACGUUAAUCGUGAGACUGCGGACGGCUCAGUAUAUCAGUGAUUAUCUAUUUGAUUGUCUCUCCCAUUGGAUAACCGUGGGAAAUCUAGAGCUAAUACAUGCAGUUUAUUGGUAUUUCGUAAGAUUUGCCAAAGCAUUUAUUAGAUUAAACCAUCUACUACGAAAGUAGUAAGACGAAUCUAGAUAACUUUGCUGAUCGUAUGGCCUUGUGCCGGCGACGUUUCAAUUGAGUUUCUGCCCUAUCAACUUGUUGGUAAGGUAUUGGCUUACCAAGGUUGCAACGGGUAACGGGGAAUCAGGGUUCGAUUCCGGAGAGGGAGCCUGAGAAACGGCUACCACAUCCAAGGAAGGCAACAGGCGCGCAAAUUACCCAAUCUAGACAGUAGGAGGUGGUGAAGAGAAUUACUAAGUGGUGGUUCAUUGAACUAUCAACUUGGAAUGAACGUAACUUAAGCAAUUCGAUGAGAAACAACUGGAGGGCAAGUCCUGGUGCCAGCAGCCGCGGUAAUUCCAGCUCCAGUAGUUUGCUUUAAAGUUGUUGCGUUUAAAACGCUCGUAGUUGGAUCACGCAGCAGUGUUUAGUAAUCUAUUCACAAGUAAGGUGAUAGUUAUGCUCGUCUCUGACGACUUAGCUGAUCCUAACUUUGGUAGAUGUUUAAGCUGACCGCUGUUAAUUGCACGUGAGAUGGAUUGUUGACCUUAAAUGUGUCGGUAAUCCCGUCUUGCGGAGUGUGCCUUGAAUAAAACAGAGUGCUUAAAGCAGGCUUAUGCCUGAAUGUUAUAGCAUGGAACGAACAAUCGUGUCUACGUGCACAUUUCUCAUAUGAUGAUUGGCCUAUGGUUAGUUAUUGUUGGGAGUGUGUACAUCACCCACCAAAGUAUGGCUGUUGGUUCCAUAUACGGUGAUGAUUAACAGGAGCGGUUGGGGGCAUCAGUAUUUGGCCGCGAGAGGUGAAAUUCUUGGACCGGCCAAGGACUAACAAAUGCAAAGGCACUUGUCCAGACCGUUUCCAUUAAUCAAGAACGAAAGUGGGAGGUUCGAAGACGAUCAGAUACCGUCCUAGUUCCCACUGUAAACUAUGCCGACCUGGGAUCAGUCUAGAGAUGUUACAAGCUCCAGAUUGGUCCCCCUGGGAAACCUCAAGUUUUUCGGUUACGGGGAGAGUAUGGUCGCAAGGCUGAAACUUAAAGGAAUUGACGGAAGGGCACCACCAGGGGUGGAGCCUGCGGCUUAAUUUGACUCAACACGGGGAAACUUACCUGGUCCGGACAUCGAUAGGAUACACAGACUGAUAGAUCUUUGUUGAUGCGAUGAGUGGUGGUGCAUGGCCGUUCUUAGUUCGUGGAGUGAUCUGUCAGCUUUAUUGCGGUAACGAACGAGACCACAGUCUCCAUUUAAGAAACAGAAGUAGACGACUAGUUGAUGCGGCUUGCUGCGCCAGUUGGUUGUUGUUAGUAAUUGUACGGAAAUUAACUUCAGUUGUAGUGGAUUGGAAACUUUUUAUGAAGGCUGGAGUUGAUUUUUGUUAUAUUCUCUUUUGUCGUGUAGUAAUGGGUUUACCAAUUGCUGCCUUAUGGAGAGACAACGAGGUAUAAACAAGCUCGAGGAAGAGUGGCUAUAACAGGUCAGUGAUGCCCUUCGAUGUUCAGGGCUGCACGCGCGCUACAAUGAUAACGACAACGAGUAUCCGCGUCGAAAGACGUAGGUAAUCUUUAAUCGUUAUCGUGAUGGGGAUUGACCGUUGUAAUUAUCGGUCAUGAAAGAGGAAUCCCUAGUAUGCAUAUUUUAUUAGAAUGUGCAGAUUGAGUCCCUGCCCUUUGUACACACCGCCCGUCGCUACUACCGAGUGAAUGGUGUCAUGAUGCUCUGGGACUGGACGUCAUGCGAGGUUUCGGCUUUGCUAGAUGCUAGGAUCAGUGUAGAAUGGCGCAAUUUCGAGGAAGUAAAAGUCGUAACAAGGUUUCCGUAGGUGAACCUGCGGAGG